UCGGUAGCUUGCUACCGAGGAAAGUGGCGGACGGGUGAGUAAUGUGUAGAGAAUCUGCCCUAGAGCGGGGGACAACAGCUGGAAACGGUUGCUAAUACCCCAUAUGAGCGUACCUGAGAUGGUAUUCUUGAAAACUCCGGUGCUCAAGGAUGAGUCUGCAUCUGAUUAGCUAGUUGGCGGGGUAAUGGCCCACCAAGGCGACGAUCAGUAGCCGGACUGAGAGGUUGAACGGCCACAUUGGGACUGAGAUACGGCCCAGACUCC
This 264-nucleotide ribosomal RNA is filed under the name uncultured bacterium. RNAcentral's name for it is "partial 16S ribosomal RNA". It matches the Rfam family "Bacterial small subunit ribosomal RNA", at positions 72 to 339 of the family's 1533-position model. The record is from RNAcentral.